RNAcentral lists this non-coding RNA (31 nucleotides) under Mus musculus (house mouse). The record is from RNAcentral. Lineage: Eukaryota; Metazoa; Chordata; Mammalia; Rodentia; Muridae.
UGGUCUUGUAGCUGGUUCUCACUAGCAUUUU